CAGGUUAUCGUGAAGAGUUGCAAUGCCAUUUAUCAACUCUCUCGACUCAAAUAUUUUUCUUAUUGCCCAAGCAGCAGACCUAGGCAAUGGCAUGUCAUCAAUACAGCAAUUUUUAAUAUAGAAAGUAUGCACCCAUUUUAUUCACAAACUAUUCUUCUUCUUGGUCAGUGCUUAUAAAUGAUUUACAACAGCAGCCUUAUUCCAUUUAAACAGGUUCAACACAUUUAAACCCCCUGCACUGUGUGGCAUACAGAGAGUUUCCCAGGCAACCAGAGCUUUCCUUGAUACUGAAGCUGAACCUGUCCAAAGGUAUGAUCUGCAUAUUUCUUCAGUCAUUCUCAGAACUUUUUUAGUCAGUGGAAAUAUUUGGGACCAGUAGGCUUGAAUACCAAACAAAACUGAUUUAGUCAGUUGAAGUCGACCAACAUAGGAGAGGCAACCUUGAUAACCAGCAGCUUAUUUUCUGUGUGAUUUUCUC
This 478-nucleotide long non-coding RNA is filed under the name Nicotiana benthamiana. RNAcentral describes it as "long non-coding RNA (NBEN_LNC002391)". Lineage: Eukaryota; Viridiplantae; Streptophyta; Magnoliopsida; Solanales; Solanaceae. The record is from RNAcentral.